Molecule: RNA transcript, 2258 nt
Organism: Macaca mulatta (Rhesus monkey)
Lineage: Eukaryota; Metazoa; Chordata; Mammalia; Primates; Cercopithecidae
Gene: CA11
Gene name: carbonic anhydrase 11
Source: RefSeq, a predicted model, not a curated record
CCGCGUGGCCCCAGAGCCGCUGGAAACCGAGGACAAGCCCCCUGCCUCCUUCCGAAUCCUGCCCCUUUCGCACCCCCCACCCCCAGCCAACACGAGGAGUGUUUGCUGCUGUGAGAUCACCUGCUCCCCACACCCAACAACAAAAUUAAAUAACACCACGGGAGGGAAGAGAGGGAGGGGGAGGAGGGAGGAAGGGACGGGAGAGAAGAGAGACUGAAACUGGGAGAAGAGGCAGGAGAGGAGGAGGUGGGGAGAGCACGAAGCUGGAGGCCGACACAGAGAGAGGGCGGGAGGAGGUGAAGAAGGAGAGAGGGGAGAAGAGGCAGGAGCUGGAAAGGAGAGAGGGAGGAGGAGGAGAUGCUGGAUGGAGACCUGGAGUUAGGUGGCUUGGGAGAGCUUAAUGAAAAGAGAACGGAGAGGGGGUGUGGGUUAGGAACCAAGAGGUAGCCCUGGGGGCAGCAGAAGGCUGAGAGGGGUAGGAAGAUCAGGAGCUAGAGAGAGACUCGAGGGUUCCGGGAAAAGAGGAGAGGAAAUUGGAAAGGCACAGAGAGACGGAGAGGAGUGGGUUUGAAGAGGGGGGGGGGUCUCAGUCCCUGGCUGCUCUGGCAUUUGGGGAACUGGGACUCCCUGUGGGGAGGAGAGGAAAGCUGGAAGUCCUGGAGGGACAGGGUCCCAGAAGGAGGGGACAGAGGAGCUGAGUGGGGGGGCAGGGCGUUGGGCAGGGGUCCCUCGGAGGCCUCCUGGGGAUGGGGGCUGCAGCUCGUCUGAGCGCCCCUCGAGCGCUGGUACUCUGGGCUGCACUGGGGGCAGCAGCUCACAUCGGACCAGCACCUGACCCCGAGGACUGGUGGAGCUACAAGGAUAAUCUCCAGGGAAACUUCGUGCCAGGUGCCGCCAAGGCGGGGACCCAGGAGUCCGGCCCUCGCGGCGCCUCCUUCUUCAGACUCAGGAACCUGGGUUCCCAGCUCCCUCCUCCCCUCAGGACCAGGAGUCCCAGCCCCCUUCUCUGUCCCUCAGGAGUCGGGCCAGCCUCUGAACCCCAGGGGCUCACCAUGGGACAUUAUACAUGCGCAUUUCAAGUAGGCCUCCUUUCUGGGGCCUGGUGAAUGCAGCAUGGAGUCUGUGUGCGGUGGGGAAGCGACAGAGCCCCGUGGAUGUGGAGCUGAAGAGGGUUCUUUAUGACCCCUUUCUGCCCCCAUUAAGGCUCAGCACUGGAGGAGAGAAGCUCCGGGGAACCUUGUACAACACCGGCAGACAUGUCUCCUUCCUGCCUGCACCCCGACCUGUGGUCAAUGUGUCUGGGGGUCCCCUCCUUUAUAGCCACCGACUCAGUGAACUGCGGCUGCUGUUUGGAGCUCGCGACGGAGCCGGCUCCGAACAUCAGAUCAACCACCAGGGCUUCUCUGCUGAGGUGCAGCUCAUUCACUUCAACCAGGAACUCUACGGGAAUUUCAGCGCUGCCUCCCGAAGCCCCAAUGGCCUGGCCAUUCUCAGCCUCUUUGUCAACGUGGCUGGUAGUUCUAACCCAUUCCUCAGUCGUCUCCUUAACCGCGACACCAUCACCCGCAUCUCCUACAAGAAUGACGCCUACUUUCUUCAAGACCUGAGCCUGGAGCUCCUGUUCCCAGAGUCCUUCGGCUUUAUCACCUAUCAGGGCUCUCUCAGCACCCCGCCCUGCUCCGAGACUGUCACCUGGAUCCUCAUCGACCGGGCCCUCAAUAUCACCUCCCUCCAGAUGCACUCCCUGAGACUCCUGAGCCAGAAUCCUCCAUCCCAGAUAUUCCAGAGCCUCAGCGGUAAUGGCCGGCCCCUGCAGCCUUUGGCCCACAGGGCACUGAGGGGCAACAGGGACCCCCGGCACCCCGAGAGGCGCUGCCGAGGCCCCAACUACCGCCUGCAUGUCGUACUACUCUACGCUGUUCCACAAUCUGAUGCUCCUUUCCCCCUUACUGAGAAUCUACAACUGCCUCCCUGUGGUUCAGCCCAGGGAUCUCACACCCCCCGGCUUCGCAACAUGGUACAGUCCACACCCCCCAUGAAGACCUUCAGGUAGUUCAGCCUAAUGCUGAAUCUGGACAUCCCGAUUCCCCCCUCCUGUUGGCUUCUUGUGGUUCAGCCCAGUGCUUCUCGACCUGUGGAUGGUGCCCCCCAUGGUCGCUGAGACUCCCCUUCGAGUAUUGCACCCGCCCGUCCUAAGCCUCCCCACAAGGCUAGGGGAGUUACUCCUAAAACAAAGCUAUUAAAGGGACAGAACUCUU